UUACGGCCACAUCACAUUGAAACAUCGGUCCCCGUACGAUCAGCGAAGUUAAGCAACGUCGAGCCUGAUCACCACCUAGAUGGGUGACCGCUUGGGACUACCACGUGCUGUAA
This is a non-coding RNA of Acanthosepion pharaonis, 113 nucleotides long. The record is from the annotation of a GenBank genome assembly. NCBI's taxonomy places the organism in Eukaryota, Metazoa, Mollusca, Cephalopoda, Sepiida, Sepiidae.